This 671-nucleotide ribosomal RNA is filed under the name Klebsiella pneumoniae. RNAcentral describes it as "partial 23S ribosomal RNA". It matches the Rfam family "Bacterial large subunit ribosomal RNA", at positions 167 to 881 of the family's 2925-position model. Lineage: Bacteria; Pseudomonadati; Pseudomonadota; Gammaproteobacteria; Enterobacterales; Enterobacteriaceae. The record is from RNAcentral.
UAGGUUAACGAGGCGAACCGGGGGAACUGAAACAUCUAAGUACCCCGAGGAAAAGAAAUCAACCGAGAUUCCCCCAGUAGCGGCGAGCGAACGGGGAGCAGCCCAGAGUCUGAAUCAGCUUGUGUGUUAGUGGAACGGUCUGGAAAGUCCGACGGUACAGGGUGAUAGUCCCGUACACCAAAAUGCACAGGCUGUGAACUCGAAGAGUAGGGCGGGACACGUGGUAUCCUGUCUGAAUAUGGGGGGACCAUCCUCCAAGGCUAAAUACUCCUGACUGACCGAUAGUGAACCAGUACCGUGAGGGAAAGGCGAAAAGAACCCCGGCGAGGGGAGUGAAAAAGAACCUGAAACCGUGUACGUACAAGCAGUGGGAGCACCUUCGGGUGUGACUGCGUACCUUUUGUAUAAUGGGUCAGCGACUUAUAUUCUGUAGCAAGGUUAACCGUAUAGGGGAGCCGCAGGGAAACCGAGUCUUAACUGGGCGUUAAGUUGCAGGGUAUAGACCCGAAACCCGGUGAUCUAGCCAUGGGCAGGUUGAAGGUUGGGUAACACUAACUGGAGGACCGAACCGACUAAUGUUGAAAAAUUAGCGGAUGACUUGUGGCUGGGGGUGAAAGGCCAAUCAAACCGGGAGAUAGCUGGUUCUCCCCGAAAGCUAUUUAGGUAGCGCC